CAAAAUUCAAAAGUAUAAAUAAUAACCAAAGUAGAACAAGUAGGCCAGCAUCACUGGUGGGAUAUCUUUACAGGGUAUUCCCCAACAGCAACACAGGU
Molecule: long non-coding RNA, 98 nt
Organism: Empidonax traillii (willow flycatcher)
Lineage: Eukaryota; Metazoa; Chordata; Aves; Passeriformes; Tyrannidae
Exons: 3
Source: RefSeq, a predicted model, not a curated record